GGAUUAAUGGGAGCUUGCUUCCGUUAGUUAGCGGCGGACGGGUGAGUUACCCGUGGGCAACCUACCCAUAAGACUGGGAUAACUUCCGGGAAACCGGGGCUAAUCCCGGAGACCAUAAGGAACUCCUGGGUUCUUUAUUGAAAGGUGGCUUUUAGCUAUCACUUACAGAUGGGCCCGCGGCGCAUUAGCUAGUUGGUGAGGUAACGGCUCACCAAGGCGACGAUGCGUAGCCGACCUGAGAGGGUGAUCGGCCACACUGGGACUGAGACACGGCCCAGACUCCUACGGGAGGCAGCAGUAGGGAAUCUUCCGCAAUGGACGAAAGUCUGACGGAGCAACGCCGCGUGAGCGAUGAAGGCCUUCGGGUCGUAAAGCUCUGUUGUUAGGGAAGAAUAAGUGCUAGUUAAAUAAGCUGGCACCUUGACGGUACCUAACCAGAAAGCCACGGCUAACUACGUGCCAGCAGCCGCGGUAAUACGUAGGUGGCAAGCGUUGUCCGGAAUUAUUGGGCGUAAAGCGCGCGCAGGCGGUUUCUUAAGUCUGAUGUGAAAGCCCCCGGCUCAACCGGGGAGGGUCAUUGGAAACUGGGAAACUUGAGUGCAGAAGAGGAAAGUGGAAUUCCAAGUGUAGCGGUGAAAUGCGUAGAGAUUUGGAGGAACACCAGUGGCGAAGGCGACUUUCUGGUCUGUAACUGACGCUAGCG
RNAcentral lists this ribosomal RNA (703 nucleotides) under Bacillus sp. SMCC G918. Its description in RNAcentral is "bacterial SSU rRNA". It matches the Rfam family "Bacterial small subunit ribosomal RNA", at positions 68 to 751 of the family's 1533-position model. Lineage: Bacteria; Bacillati; Bacillota; Bacilli; Caryophanales; Bacillaceae. The record is from RNAcentral.